GCAGUGUUGUCGUCAGCUCGUGUCGUGAGAUGUUGGGUUAAGUCCCGCAACGAGCGCAACCCCUGUCCUAUGUUGCCAGCAUUCAGUUGGGGACUCUGGAGAGACUGCCGGUGACAAACCGGAGGAAGGUGGGAUGACGUCAAAUCAUCAUGCCCCUUAUGACCUGGGCUACACACGUACUACAAUGGCGUAUACAACGGGAAGCGAAAUGGUGACAUGGAGCAAAUCUCACAAAGUACGUCUCAGUUCGGAUUGAAGUCUGCAACUCGACUUCAUGAAGUCGGAAUCGCUAGUAAUCGCGGAUCAGCAUGCCGCGGUGAAUACGUUCUCGGGCCUU
This 337-nucleotide ribosomal RNA is filed under the name uncultured Erysipelothrix sp. Its description in RNAcentral is "bacterial SSU rRNA". It matches the Rfam family "Bacterial small subunit ribosomal RNA", at positions 1043 to 1382 of the family's 1533-position model. The record is from RNAcentral. Lineage: Bacteria; Bacillati; Bacillota; Erysipelotrichia; Erysipelotrichales; Erysipelotrichaceae.